AUUGAACGCUGGCGGCAGGCCUAACACAUGCGAGUCGAGCGGAUGAAGGGAGCUUGCUCCUGGAUUCAGCGGGGGACGGGUGAGUAAUGCCUAGGAAUCUGCCUGGUAGUGGGGGAUAACGUCCGGAAACGGGCGCUAAUACCGCAUACGUCCUGAGGGAGAAAGUGGGGGAUCUUCGGACCUCACGCUAUCAGAUGAGCCUAGGUCGGAUUAGCUAGUUGGUGGGGUAAAGGCCUACCAAGGCGACGAUCCGUAACUGGUCUGAGAGGAUGAUCAGUCACACUGGAACUGAGACACGGUCCAGACUCCUACGGGAGGCAGCAGUGGGGAAUAUUGGACAAUGGGCGAAAGCCUGAUCCAGCCAUGCCGCGUGUGUGAAGAAGGUCUUCGGAUUGUAAAGCACUUUAAGUUGGGAGGAAGGGCAGUAAGUUAAUACCUUGCUGUUUUGACGUUACCAACAGAAUAAGCACCGGCUAACUUCGUG
Molecule: ribosomal RNA, 484 nt
Filed under: uncultured bacterium
Lineage: Bacteria
Description: partial 16S ribosomal RNA
Rfam family: Bacterial small subunit ribosomal RNA
Source: RNAcentral